RNAcentral lists this transfer RNA (76 nucleotides) under Staphylococcus aureus. RNAcentral's name for it is "tRNA-Val". It matches the Rfam family "tRNA". Rfam says of the family: Transfer RNA (tRNA) molecules are approximately 80 nucleotides in length. Their secondary structure includes four short double-helical elements and three loops (D, anti-codon, and T loops). Lineage: Bacteria; Bacillati; Bacillota; Bacilli; Caryophanales; Staphylococcaceae. The record is from RNAcentral.
GGAGAAUUAGCUCAGCUGGGAGAGCAUCUGCCUUACAAGCAGAGGGUCGGCGGUUCGAACCCGGCAUUCUCCACCA